This 3132-nucleotide long non-coding RNA is filed under the name Sus scrofa (pig). RNAcentral's name for it is "lncRNA (ENSSSCG00055007109.1)". The record is from RNAcentral. Lineage: Eukaryota; Metazoa; Chordata; Mammalia; Artiodactyla; Suidae.
GUACCUUGGCAUGGUUACCCACUGACAGAGGAGAUCACUGGGCUUAGGGUUGAGGUCCUUUGCUCACCAUCUCGAAGCUGUUGGUCUGUCCGGCUCUGAUGCCAGUGCUGGUAAUGAGAGCCCAGGGUGGCCUGCAAAGCUGGGAGGGGCUGAAGUCCUCCCCUCUCGGCCUUUCUUUCCUGAGGGCUGUCGUUUUGGCUCCAGAGAUCCAGAUGAAUCCAGACACUCUGGAAGCCCGUGCAGAGUGCCUCUCUCCCACCCCACCUGGCCUCCCUGGGCAGCGCCGACUGCACAGCCAGCCCCUUCCUGCUACACAGGAGGGCACUUGGGCCCGGGGACGUGCGCUUGCCCAGGGGGACACAGGGACUCAGGGGCUGCAGGUGUCCUGGCUUCUGCCCACCUCGCAAUAAGCCACAGGGAGGAAUCACACCUCUGCCUGCAGAAAAGCAGGUGCCAAUACAUUCUCUCUGCGACACCUGCAGAGACGUAAGCAACUUCCACCAGCUCAGGGUAUGACGUCCUUAAAAUCGGGUCACAAACAUCUGCUCCCAAGGUGCUUUUCUCUGGCCGGCGGGUAAGGCUUUCUCCCUUCCGGCUGUCAGAACGUGACUCCUGGCAGCAGUACACAGGGCGGAAUCUAGUGCCCACUCUGUGGCCAGCCAGUGUUUGCCCCCCAGGGUUGAUGAGUCCUGGGGCGUGGGGAUGCUGGGCAGUAUCUGCCAGGCCCCGUGCAGGGUCCGUCCAGCAGGGAGGCAGUCACGGCGUGAUGGGCUAGGAGCCAGGGCCCCGGGGGUCUGUCUGCCUGUUGAUAAACGUGAGAGGACCCAGUCUAGCGAUGUUCCAAAACCCAGUGCCCGCCAGAAUCCCGAGGGCCAGCGGGGCUGAUGGUGGCCCACUCCGCCGUCUCGGGGUUGCUGGGGCCAGCCUCUGGGCUCCUUGGGGUAAAGAGGUGGAGGAAGCUUUGCCCCACCCGUCUACAGCCCUGGUGUCCCCACAGGGAGACAGCCUGUGCUGCUUCCUGUCCCCUUUCAUGGGCCAUCACCCCUGCACAGGUGUGGGCACAUGUGCGCGCGCACACACCCACACCCCAGCACAGCUCCAAAGGCGGAGGCCAGCCUUGGCCACUUGGCCCUGGCCUUCCCACCACCCUCAGCGUGACCCUCUCUCACCCAGGUGGGAGGCGGCAGUGAGAAGAGCCUCAGUGACUGGAUGGUGAGACAAGGCAUGGUGAGAGGGGCUGGGCACCUGCGCAGGGCCACCCCGGCGGUGCUGUCCAUCAGACCCGAGGAGAGCGAGGGGCAUCAGGGCGCCCAGCCCCGCUCCCCGGCCCUUGCUUCCACGGCCGUGCAGCUCUGGCAGCUGGGAGGUGACCGGGGCUGGCCUGGAUCUGGGCUGAGUGUCCGCAUAGGGAGCUGGGCAGCGCUGGGAACUUGCUGCUGGUGCUGCUGGGGAAUCAGCUCCUGCCUCUUCUCUGGGCGCUCCUGCCGCCCACCGGGGUCCUCGCUGCCUGCCGAGGACAGAGCUUGGGGACUGACCUGGCUUUGGUUGGAGAAGGACUCGUUCUCCCUCUGUUUCCCAAAGUAGCUAAGUGGUAACUGGCGUUUCCUAGGCAUCUAAGCUGUGCCAGGCGCUGUGCUAAGCUCUCUGCCUCCCUCAUCUCCUUUAAUUCUCACAGCAGCCUGGACGGUAGGUAGCAUCACCCGUUGCAGUGAGCGAGGCGAGGGUUCGGGGAGUUUAGCAACCUGCGCAAAGUCGCAGGCCAGCACUGCGCCAGCUUUCUGACCCCGGAGUCUGUGCCCAGAGCCUCCAGUAGGAUCCUCCCACUCAAGAUGCAUCUCGAGACCCCAGCCCUGCCCCAGUCCAACCCUCAGCCUCGGUGGCAGAACUCGUAUCUUUUUUACCCCCGGUGAAAUGUACCCGCAGAACCGCAGCCCCCUGGACCCACCAGGCUGGUGGUCCCGGCACCUCCCUCAGCUCCAGCCCAUCUCUGCCCCCUCCCACCAUAAACUCUUGAGUCUGCAGGGGUGCAGUGGGCGCUGCAGUCGCCCCCCUGCCCCAGCCUUGCCAGCUGGCCGCUCCCUGGGCCUUGAGUGUUACUGUGUCAGGGGCUCGCGAGGCAGGUGACUGCGCGGGGCCUCAGCCGGUGGGCCCUGGGCUGGUGGGGCCUCCCUCUGGUCCAGUGCACUGUUCUCCCCCCCAGAUCCCUGUCACCCAGGCCUGCCUCAUGGAGGACAUCGAGCAGUGGCUGUCCACGGACGUGGGCAAUGAUGCCGAGGAGCCCAAGGGCGUCACCAGUGAAGAAUUCGACAAGUUCCUGGAAGAACGGGCCAAAGUGGCCGACCGUUUGCCCAACCUCUCCAGCCCCUCGGCCGAGGGGCCCCCGGGUCCCCCAUCUGGCACCGUCCCUCGAAAGAAGACGCAGGAGAAGGACGAGGACAUGCUGUUUGCCUUAUGAGUGUGGGGCCUGGCGUCCUGGAGCCCGGGCCCCCGCUGUUCCCACACUGCGUGGCUGGGGCCUCUUCCUCCUUUGGUGUUCGCUGCUUUGGGGGUGGCUUGUUGCGCCCUCUUCUCUCCCCUUUGAGGUUGGGGCUGUGCUGCCUGGGGGUACAGGGGGCAGCUGGACAAGUUGAGAGCGCGAGUCAGUUCUAUGCUGGAUCCUGGCCACGCCUGCCUCCUUCCCCACCCCCACCAACCACUACAACUUUGCUGGAAAGCUGGAGGCCCCGGCACAGACAGGCUGGCCUCGUGGUUGCCCCAGUGUGACUGCCCCUGCCGUGGUGACCCAUCCCCAGAGGAGCGCCCUUCAGAGCCCUCACUGCCAGUUAAGGCCCAGCCUGAGGUUGGAGACCGCAGAUGCUUCUGUCGCAGCCUUGGGGCCCAAAGGCUUUGGCCACUGCGGAGGGCCGGGGGUGUGCUGUGGUGAAGGGAGGCCCCACCAGCCCCCGGCCGCAGGGGGAGGCUGCGGGGGUGCCUGGCGCACCCAUGUCACCCACGACCUCCACGCCCUUCCCUCCAUCCUUUCUCUCUUCCUCCCGCGCAGGCCUCCACUGGGCACUGGGCCCACCCAGCUGUUGGUUGACCCUCUUGUACUGGGAGAGGUGCCCUUUGUACCCCCGAUUAAAAGUAGAAAAG